UUGAGUUUGAUGAAUAAAAUAGUAAUUGUGGAGCCGCUUUGACUUCCUUCUCUUCACAACUCUAAGAAUACAUUCAGAGUCAUUUAGAGACAGUGUGAUGUGGUCCAAGUCAAGCAGCUUCUGAAAACAGUCUUUGAGAGAACCUGCCACUUCAAACAUACGGGUCCAGGAUCUUUGGAGGUUCCUCAGGUUCUGCUGACUCAGCGCCCUGACCUCCGUCCUGUAAGAAGAAAGAAUGAUCUUAAUCCAGGAAACUCCACACCGAGUACCAUACAAUGUCCUCAAUUAAAAACCUGAAGCAAACAGUGGAGCUGGGCGGCGCUGGUCUGACUCAUACUGAUAUUGUUUUGAUUAAGAGCCCCCUGGUGGCUGAAUUUUACAUACUCUGCAUUAAAGGACUGAUGUUUUAUGUCUGAACUCUGUUUAAAUAUUAAUAUCAGACAAAAUUAUUUUGUAGACACUAGGAUAUUGGCAAAACUCCAAUAUUAUGUUGAUGAUUGUGAUUAGUUUCCCAGCACUAGCAGUAAGUUACUCUACAGAGCUGGGCCUUUUAAUACUCAGAAGCAGCAGUUUCAUCACGCUCUUUGAAACCACCAGACCCCAUCAACAAACAGCAGUUUUAACUCUCAGCAGACAAGCUUAAGAUAAAAUGACUGUUUAUGAAAAUGCAGUCUGGUAGGUUUCAGGGAGGGGAUAUAACAGGAUUUUUUCAUUUACAUAUAUUCUUUUUGCUUUUUAUCAUAAAGGCUUUUUUUUCUGUAGGGAUCCUGUCCAUAAUGGUGUCAGAAUAACAAUUUAAGCCCAUCAGCAGAUAAAGGAAGAAACUUAAAAGAGUUUACAUCAGGACACAAGGAUAUGGUCUUAGUCUAACAGCUUGUCAUGAUGCCUUGGUAAAACCUUCAGUUUAGCUCUACGCCGAGUACACCACCAAAAAUUGGGCUCCAAUGAUUGGCUUCACAGUUUGAUGUGCAGGUAAACUGAAACCUAUCAUGGCACUCUUUGUUGAUUGUCCAGUGCCAGGCUGUAUCAAUCAGAGGCUAAGCACAGUGAACUCUACCAGGUGGUAGAGAAAAAUCUUUACAAGGUCGGCGACUGUUCAGUCCUCUUCCCCUCUCCUCAUUCAUCUCAUUGAAUCAACUGGAGAUGGAGAGUUUCUGAUUGGCAGUUUGAGAUUAAAAAAGGAAUCCCAAUGUGUUUGCUUGGUGAUAUGACUGUCUAUGGAAAAGACAUGUUUGUUUGCAGUAAAAAUACCCUGAGAUAGCGAGUUCAACCUGAGCAUCAUCAUCACAACUUCACAAUGCACUGUGGUGGCUGUUUAAGUCAAUGUAAUUCCCACUGCACAAAUUAUUUUAAGAAGAAUCAUCCUUAAUGUAACAUUGCAGCCAACUAUAGGCUUUUUAGGCAUCUAGUGCUCUCACUUCCUUAUGAACGAGUAAUCAGUUAUUCCCAACUCAAUAUUUUAAGAGGAAUUUUGGACAACAGGACAAUUUCCCAACAUGCACCACUUCUUAGCUUUUUGAGGUGCACUGCUGUUUCAGUAUUGUGCUGCUCAUCAGUGCUACGUGUCUGUAGGACAGCUGUCUAUAAAUCCCAGUGGUGAAUGAAAUGACUGCUGAGAGCUUUCCAUGAGUCUGUAGAAACAGCCACUUUGUAGAAAAAUCUGCUCUCAGUUCUCUCAGUUUAAAAUUCCGAUUUGUUUUUUUCUUUUGUCUUCAGAGUCCUAUAACUUUUUUUAAAAAUCAAGUGACACUAAUGAAGUAGAUACAGUGCAUCCAGGAAGUAUGCACAACACUUCACUUUUUCCACAUUUUGUU
Molecule: long non-coding RNA, 1814 nt
Organism: Cheilinus undulatus (humphead wrasse)
Lineage: Eukaryota; Metazoa; Chordata; Actinopteri; Labriformes; Labridae
Exons: 4
Source: RefSeq, a predicted model, not a curated record